UUGGAGACGAUAUAGUGAUUGUGGCGCUUACCGGACUCCAAUUUGCAAAGCUAAGUGAGGAGGGUUUAAGGAUACUCCAGCUAAUGAUUUACUUGCAGUUGUUUUAAAGGCCAUGAUAGAGAAAACAAAUCUGGACCCAAGUGAAGUUGGGGAUAUAGUUGUUGGUACUGUUUUGCCACCUGGUUCAUAAAGAGCAAUAUAGUGCAGAAUGGCAGCAAUCUAUGCUGGUUUUCCUGGUAAG
This is a long non-coding RNA of Humulus lupulus (European hop), 241 nucleotides long. RefSeq lists it as uncharacterized. NCBI's taxonomy places the organism in Eukaryota, Viridiplantae, Streptophyta, Magnoliopsida, Rosales, Cannabaceae. The transcript is spliced from 3 exons. The record is from RefSeq and is a predicted model, not a curated record.